UAAUACGGAGGGUGCGAGCGUUGUCCGGAAUCACUGGGCGUAAAGGGCGCGUAGGUGGCUCACGCAAGCGUGCGGUGAAAGCCCGGGGCUCAACCCCGGGUCGGCCGUGCGGACUGCGGGGCUCGAGCACUGUAGGGGCAGAUGGAAUUCCGGGUGUAGCGGUGGAAUGCGUAGAGAUCCGGAAGAACACCGGUGGCGAAGGCGGUCUGCUGGGCAGUUGCUGACACUGAGGCGCGACAGCGUGGGGAGCAAACAGGAUUAGAUACCCUGGUAGUCCACGCCGUAAACGAUGGGCACUAGGUGCU
This 305-nucleotide ribosomal RNA is filed under the name uncultured bacterium. Its description in RNAcentral is "bacterial SSU rRNA". It matches the Rfam family "Bacterial small subunit ribosomal RNA", at positions 521 to 824 of the family's 1533-position model. The record is from RNAcentral.